UUUUUUGACCUCUUUUUAGUCGAUAAAAAUAGGUCUAGUUUCAUCUAUUUUCAUAUGUACACUUUAACGUGACUCACACUGUAUAUCAUUUCGUUAAAUAGUUUAUUUAGUGUUUUUCGCUAAUCGUAAAGGCAGUGCAUUUACUACGUACUCCCUGCUCAAUAAAUUAACAAUAUAAUAAGUUUAGAUGUAAAAUUAAGCAUAAUAUAGUUAUAUUAAAUUAAAACUGUGUUACGGCGAGUUUACAAGUGAUGGGUAUAACAUUGUGUUCGUGGUGUUUUAGGAGUUGUGCAGUUGACACGACAGUCAUUAUGUGUAACCGCCAUGUUUCAAUCACGUACCUAAAUACUUUGCUUUCCAAAAACAGGUUUUUAUUACAAUCAUGUAAACUCGUUGUUUUUAGGUAAUGUUAGACUUAUCAGUUGUUUGAGAUGUUGAUUAUAAUACGUUUAUCACAAAUAGUAUUUGUGUUAAGUUAGUUUCCGCUAAACAACACUAAAUCAAAAUGAGGAAACAGUAUGUAUUGAACGUAGCUAAGGCUGUAAUUAAUACAGAUUUCUUUGCCAGAACUUAGAGAAGAUUGUAAAUAAAUUCUUCUUUUGGUCGACUAAAUGCACUUAAAGAAUCCAUUAAAUGAUGUCUUCAAAAUUCAUGUGAAUCGAUCAAAACCGCGCAAUUACUAGCUAUGUAUAUUCUCAUUCAACGCACAGCGGUCGGACACAGUUAAUUUAUAUUUAGUGCACAUAUACAAUGAUAGGCUCACAUAGAUAGAUACCUACAUGUGUAUGUAUGCCAAUAUGACGCAUUUUACAAGUCGAAAUACCAACUUCCAAAUCCCUUUAACUAAUUUCAACUAAUUACAAUCCCAUUGCAAUAUUCAUAAGUCCCGUUGCUAUCAGUUUUAAAAUUAAUGGAACCUAAAAGUUUAAUUCUUACAUUCAAAUAACUCUUAGGAAAAUCCAUGUUAUAUGUAUAUUACUUAAUAAACUUUUAAAUCGAAUUUUAGCUUAUAAAUUUUGGCUGUGCGUUGAUAAAUCAGUCUGGCGGCCUAAAAAAAUAUAUACAUAUAUGUAGCUUUUAUAAAGCAUUUGCAACGACCAAAUUAGUGUCCCCGCGCAUCAGGCGGCCGGGCCGCGCGGCCAGGUCGCUGCGGCUAACAAAACAUGCAUAUGAAAUAGCAAUGCCAGAUUUUGUAUGGAAGGUGGGGCCUUUUUUUUCGCGCGGCCAUCGACCAAACCUUCUAACGCUCGUAACUCAGUUCUGACUGAGUUUAGAGAUGUACAACUGUACAUGUCAUAGUAAGUUUGGUUUAUUACACUAUUUUGUAAUAUAAAAACAAGGUUUGGUCGAUGGCCGCGCGAAAAAAAUAGGCGCCAAUUUCCGGCAUUGUCUUUUUGCCGCGCGGCCGCGAUAUGCGCGCACUCACAUACACCGCGGAAGAAGUAGUCGGCCGCAGCGACCAGAGCCCCGAUUACGGUAAUUUUUAACGUCAACAAUCCAGACACGCUUCUCGAUUCUGCGAUACGAUUGGUCGUUCAACAGCGUACGUCAGCUGUUUUGACCAAUCGUAUUGCAGAAUCAGAAACGCGUCUGGAUUGUAGACGUUAAAAGUUACCGUAAUCGGGGCUCUGGUCGCGCGGCCCGGCCGUCUAAUGUGCGUGGGCACUAAAGAUCUGAUGAACUGAUCUCAAGUUUCCUCCUCGACUCAAAAUUAGCUUGUUGUCUUGUAGGUAGAAUCUAGAGGGUGACAGUUUUGCUCUUAAUUGCAUUUCUGGAGUUGAAGAAAAAAUUUGCCUUUUGGUGUGAUCUCUCGGUCUGUCUAUAGAUUGGGAUAUUAUGUGAUUUGAGUAUGAAAUUUUAUACAUUCGUGUCUUCCUCAAUGUGAUAUAAAAGAUAUUUUUCUAUAUUUUUUGUAAGUAUGUAUUUUUUUAAACAAAAUUCGUGUGUGUUGCAAAUAUGUAAAAGUGGCAGCUCUAUCUAUCCUCUUAUGAAAUCUAAAGAUUACAACAUAUUAUAUGGUAUAAUGUCA
Molecule: long non-coding RNA, 2029 nt
Organism: Ostrinia nubilalis (European corn borer)
Lineage: Eukaryota; Metazoa; Arthropoda; Insecta; Lepidoptera; Crambidae
Exons: 2
Source: RefSeq, a predicted model, not a curated record